UUUGCUGAGGAUACGGUUAACGGAGCGAAAGCGACGUUCAACCUCAAAAGAAGCAGAGGGGGCUUAGUGGUGGGGUGACUGCGUACCUUUUGUAUAAUGGGUCAGCGACUUAUAUUCUGUAGCAAGGUUAACCGUAUAGGGGAGCCGCAGGGAAACCGAGUCUUAACCGGGCGUUAAGUUGCAGGGUAUAGACCCGAAACCCGGUGAUCUAGCCAUGGGCAGGUUGAAGGUUGGGUAACACUAACUGGAGGACCGAACCGACUAAUGUUGAAAAAUUAGCGGAUGACCUGUGGCUGGGGGUGAAAGGCCAAUCAAACCGGGAGAUAGCUGGUUCUCCCCGAAAGCUAUUUAGGUAGCGCCUCGUGAAUUCAUCUCCGGGGGUAGAGCACUGUUUCGGCUAGGGGGCCAUCCCGGCUUACCAACCCGAUGCAAACUGCGAAUACCGGAGAAUGUUAUCACGGGAGACACACGGCGGGUGCUAACGUCCGUCGUGAAGAGGGAAACAACCCAGACCGCCAGCUAAGGUCCCAAAGUCAUGGUUAAGUGGGAAACGAUGUGGGAAGGCCCAGACAGCCAGGAUGUUGGCUUAGAAGCAGCCAUCAUUUAAAGAAAGCGUAAUAGCUCACUGGUCGAGUCGGCCUGCGCGGAAGAUGUAACGGGGCUAAACCAUGCACCGAAGCUGCGGCAGCGACGCUGAUGCGUUGUUGGGUAGGGGAGCGU
This 720-nucleotide ribosomal RNA is filed under the name Salmonella enterica subsp. enterica serovar Livingstone. Its description in RNAcentral is "bacterial LSU rRNA". It matches the Rfam family "Bacterial large subunit ribosomal RNA", at positions 568 to 1239 of the family's 2925-position model. The record is from RNAcentral. Lineage: Bacteria; Pseudomonadati; Pseudomonadota; Gammaproteobacteria; Enterobacterales; Enterobacteriaceae.